AUUUCUGCCUGUCUGACCAUUCUUUAAUAAACUACUGUAUAUGGAUCCGAACAUCUCUGACUUCGUGUUACAGAGUGAGACUUGUGUAUGGGUGUUUAUGAUGUUUUUGUGUAUAUUCCCGAAGUGUUUGCACAGAGUGUGACGUAUGUAUAUGUUAUAUUAAACGUGCUAUGUGUUGAUUUAUGAGUUUGGAUGUGUAUUAAAAUUAGUUCAUGUGAUUACACAAAUGUUGUUUAUAAAGAAUAGAGCAGAGAUGUUAUUACAAUUAUUUCUUGCUGAACACAGGAUAUUUCCAUGUUUAAAAAGCAAUGUUUUGCACAUGCUUUUUCAAACCAUCUGAUCAUGGUUUUGCUAUACUAGCUAUUUAGCUUCACCAUGGUAGUUGUGUGAUAAUAUAAAUGGCAGUGAUCCUCAAAUCUGGCUUAUGAGAUUCACUUUCCUUCAGAGUUUAACUCCAAGCCUAAUCAAACAAACCUACCUGUGAUUUUCUAAUGAUCCUGAAGACACUGAUUAGCAAACUCAGGUGUGUUUGAUUAGGGUUAGAGCUAAAUUCUGCAAGAAAGUGGAUCUCGCGAGCCAGAUUUGAGGAUCACUGCUAAUGGUAUUCAAUCCAAAUGACUACACCAGGGGUGGCGAACAUCGGUCCUGGAGAGCCUCAGCACAGUAGACCCUUAUGAAAAAGAAGUUUAUUCAAGUGUGCUAUUAGUAUACUUCUUUUAAACUAAAAAUAGGAAAGUAUGCUUUUAGUUUACUUUUUAUGUACUUCUCAGAAAUGGGCUUUAUGUACUUCUCAGAAAUAUACUUAAAAUGACUUUUAAGUAUACUUGACUUAUACUUACAAAAAGUCUAAAUAUACUUGAACUAUACUUAAGUAUACAGGUCCUUCUCAAAAAAUUAGCAUAUUGUGAAAAAGUUCAUUAUUUUCCUUAAUAUAAUGAUAAAAAUUUAACUUUCAUAUAUUUUAGAUUCAUUGCACACCAACUGAAAUAUUUCAGGUCUUUUAUUGUUUUAAUACU
This is a long non-coding RNA of Cyprinus carpio carpio, 1016 nucleotides long. The record is from Ensembl. Lineage: Eukaryota; Metazoa; Chordata; Actinopteri; Cypriniformes; Cyprinidae.